Cucumis sativus (cucumber) is the source of this 793-nucleotide long non-coding RNA. RefSeq lists it as uncharacterized. The transcript is spliced from 3 exons. The record is from RefSeq and is a predicted model, not a curated record. Lineage: Eukaryota; Viridiplantae; Streptophyta; Magnoliopsida; Cucurbitales; Cucurbitaceae.
GAUAACAUUAUCGUUCAAAAAAUUCAGGAGUAAGUAUUUAUGUGAAAGGCCAUAUUCUUUGGCCAUUUGACCUUAUUUAUGAUUGAAUUAUUUGGAUGGAAAUGAUAAACUACACAUUAUUGUCUGCUUGAGUUGUGAUCUUGAUUAUGGGCUAUUUGGUAUUUUGCCUACAAACUGUAUAGUUAAUUAUCUGUUAGCUUUUGUUUUCCUGUCACAGCUUUAUGUUUCUGUGGCUAAUUGUAGCCAAAAGUUUUAUUUAUCGAUCUUAUUUUUCACAGCAUAAAUGAAACCGCGUUUCAAGCAUCAAAUGCUGCUACAUCAUUCAAGGAAAUUCGUCGUAGAGGUCUUUCUCUUUACCAAAUUUCGUAGCUGAACUUUAAGAAGCAAUCAAACCGGUGUUAACUUCUUAUAUAAAGGUAGAUUCCCAAACUUUGAAGAAACGCUGCAGUACUGAGGUAAUUGAACGUUGUAAGGCAGAGCAUUGGGCUUACCGGAGCCAAGGUAUCUUCUUCGAUAACAAGUAAGGAUAGUCCUGAUACUACCUUUCUUUUGUUAUUGAAGUUUAUUGUUCCUUCUCUCUUGUUUGGUGGUUGUGCACCUAUAUUGAUUUGUACUUCUGUUAAUUAAUUAUAGUCCUUCUCUCUUGUUUGAGUAAUUAUUGUCUACCAUUUUGUUAGCAAAGGCUUCCCAUGGAAAUUUAGUUUGUUGUGCUGCAUGUCCAAGAUGAUUUUCGUGAUUUUAGUUUUAGAUACAUAAAAGGGAUUUUGCAUCACAACAUGAAUGACUAUUUCUA